Molecule: ribosomal RNA, 1424 nt
Filed under: soil metagenome
Description: bacterial LSU rRNA
Rfam family: Archaeal large subunit ribosomal RNA
Source: RNAcentral
GUCCUCGAGGACGCCGGCCGCUAGGGGGAGUGGACAUAUGCCGGUCCAUCUCUCCUCCGUCGCCCCGGGAAGUACCGUCAUGGUGAGAACCGGGGGCAGGAGGGAUCGGGUCUCCGCAAGGAGACUUCUCCCGAUGCGGGCGGCCCGUGAAAAGUCGAGGACGGCAACUGUGGCUCGUACCGAGAUCUGACACAGGUGCCCCUGGGUGAGAAGCCCAAGGCGUGUCGGCGAGAAUUCGAGCGAGGGAAUUCGGCAAAUUAGCCCCGUAACUUCGGGAGAAGGGGUGCCAGACACGAGGGUGUCUGGUCGCAGUGACCAGGGAGCUCCGACUGUUUAAUAAAAACAUAGGUGGCCGCGAGACCGAAAGGUUGUGUAUGGCCGCUGAAUCCUGCCCAGUGUCGGUAUCUGAAAGCCCGGUACAACGGGACGAAGGACCGAUAAACGGCGGGGGUAACUAUGACCCUCUUAAGGUAGCGUAAUACCUUGUCGCUUAAUUGGCGACUUGCAUGAAGGACCAACGAGAGCUCUACUGUCCCCGCUCGGAAGCCGGCGAAACUGACUCAUUGGCGAGCAGUCCAAUGUCUUCCGUCUGAAAGCGAAGACCCCGUGGAGCUUUACUGCAGCCUGCGGUUGUGGUACGAAUUCGAUUGUGUAGCGUAGGCGGGACUCGUUACCAGGGCCGGCCGCUAGGUCGGUUCCGAGAGAUCAAUGAAACACCGCCCUUUCGGGUUUGUAUCGCUCACCCCGCAAGGGGGACACCCGUAGGUAGGCAGUUUGGGUGGGGCGCCACGCCCUCCAAAAUGUAACAAGGGCCCCCAAAGGUCGGCUCAGGUGGGUCAGAAAUCCACCGUAGAGUGCAAGGGCAAAAGCCGGCUUGACGGGAAUCUGCAUAACGAGGAUUCCCGAUGCGAAAGCAGGGCCUAGCGAACCACUGUGCCUCCCCUGUAGGGGCCAGUGAUAAGAGAAAAGUUACCCCGGGGAUAACUGAGUUGUCUCCAGCAAGAGUCCCUAUCGACCUGGAGGCUUGCUACUUCGAUGUCGGUUCUGCCUAUCCUGGUGGUGCAGCAGCUACCAAGGGUGGGGUUGUUCGCCCAUUAAAAGGGAUCGUGAGCUGGGUUUACACCGUCGCGAGACAGGUGUGUUGCUUUUUGGCGGAAGUGCACGGGUCUCUGACGAGAAGGUUCCCACAGUACGAGAGGAACGGGGAAUCGGCGCCUCUAGUCCAUCAGUUGUCCGGCAGGGCAUCGCUGAGCAGCCACGCGCUCCGGGAUAAGGGCUGAAAGCAUCUAAGCCCGAAACCCCCUCGAAAAAGAGAGACCUUCAAGGACACUCGUAGAAGACGAGCUCGAUAGAGCCGGGGUGUACGCGGAAAGCCUUCGGGCGAUCCGUUCAGCCCGCGGCCACUAACGUCCGCAGCUACGCUA